Molecule: long non-coding RNA, 662 nt
Organism: Cygnus olor (mute swan)
Lineage: Eukaryota; Metazoa; Chordata; Aves; Anseriformes; Anatidae
Exons: 4
Source: RefSeq, a predicted model, not a curated record
GUCAUUUCAGACUCUUAACAAUUACAGCUGAAGGAAGGCUGGAGCCAAUUUUAAUCAGCAGGCUGCCUGGUAUACACCUCAACUACAGGGAAGAGUAGAGCAGGAAACCUGUAUUCUGAAUGAACCAGCGUCCAGAGGGUUGUUUCUGUCUUGCUACCACCAAGUUAGAAAGCUGGAGUCUGUUCUCUCUCGGCACGAUCCUGCCCCGCUCCCCAUGCCUCCAUCGAGCAGAUUGUGGCACACAAGCCCGCAGCAGCAAAAAGCAUCCCCACUGCCACCAAGCAAGAGUAAAUUUUCACUGAGAAGCUGUAGAAGUGCUUUUUACUGCUAAAGCUUAAGGUAAUUGUGUGUAUCUGUGGAGGCUUUCGUGGACUUCAACGAGUCAAGUGCUUCUGCAUAGCCACAGAAAAUUAUUCAGAGCUAGUCUGGGGAAGAACACUUCAAAUCUCAUCCUUCAUAUGACAUUCAUCCUAUUUUUCUUCUCCGUAUCAGCUGUUCUGCAGGGAGGUACAGGGGCUGUGGUUGCUUCUCUUCAAUUUGGAGGGGCUGGAGCUGGAGAGAGGUACCUUGUCUUUAUGUCCCAUGCCAAUGGGACCCUCGCAGUGCUCAUCCAGAAUGAAUGCUAAGUAUUUAUGUUAUGAGGAACUUAGCAAUAAACUCAA